GUAACAAGGUCUCCGUUGGUGAACCAGCGGAGGGAUCAUUACCGAGUUUACAACUCCCAAACCCCUGUGAACAUACCUAUACGUUGCCUCGGCGGAUCAGCCCGCGCCCCGUAAAACGGGACGGCCCGCCCGAGGACCCCUAAACUCUGUUUUUAGUGGAACUUCUGAGUAAAACAAACAAAUAAAUCAAAACUUUCAACAACGGAUCUCUUGGUUCUGGCAUCGAUGAAGAACGCAGCAAAAUGCGAUAAGUAAUGUGAAUUGCAGAAUUCAGUGAAUCAUCGAAUCUUUGAACGCACAUUGCGCCCGCCAGUAUUCUGGCGGGCAUGCCUGUUCGAGCGUCAUUUCAACCCUCAAGCUCAGCUUGGUGUUGGGACUCGCGGUAACCCGCGUUCCCCAAAUCGAUUGGCGGUCACGUCGAGCUUCCAUAGCGUAGUAAUCAUACACCUCGUUACUGGUAAUCGUCGCGGCCACGCCGUUAAACCCCAACUUCUGAAUGUUGACCUCGGAU
Molecule: ribosomal RNA, 511 nt
Filed under: fungal endophyte sp. SX13
Lineage: Eukaryota; Fungi
Description: eukaryotic LSU rRNA
Rfam family: 5.8S ribosomal RNA (bases 191-344)
Source: RNAcentral